AGUGAACGCUGGCGGCGUGCCUAAUACAUGCAAGUCGAACGGAGUGGCGCACGGGUGAGUAAGGUAUGUAUAAUCUGCCCUACACUAGAGGACGACAGCUGGAAACGACUGCUACUACUCUAUAUUGUAGGAUGAGGCUAUAUUGUAUCAGCUAGUUGGUGAGGUAGUGGCUCACCAAGGGUAUGACGCAUAACUGGUCUGAGAGGAUGAGCAGUCACACUGGACCGGAGACACGGUUCAGACUCAUACCGCAGUGAGCAGUAGGGAAUAUUGCUCAAGGGGGGAAACUCUGAAGCAGCAUCGCGGCGUGGAGUACGACACUUGUCGGAGAGUAAACUCCUUUUGUUAGGGAUGCGUUACCCAACGAAUAAGCACCGGCUAACUCCGUGCCAGCCGCCGCGGUAAUAC
RNAcentral lists this ribosomal RNA (408 nucleotides) under uncultured bacterium. RNAcentral describes it as "partial 16S ribosomal RNA". It matches the Rfam family "Bacterial small subunit ribosomal RNA", at positions 29 to 526 of the family's 1533-position model. The record is from RNAcentral.